GAUGAACGCUGGCGGCGUGCCUAAUACAUGCAAGUCGAGCGAACGGACGAGAAGCUUGCUUCUCUGAUGUUAGCGGCGGACGGGUGAGUAACACGUGGAUAACCUACCUAUAAGACUGGGAUAACUUCGGGAAACCGGAGCUAAUACCGGAUAAUAUUUUGAACCGCAUGGUUCAAAAGUGAAAGACGGUCUUGCUGUCACUUAUAGAUGGAUCCGCGCUUCAUUAGCUAGUUGGUAAGGUAACGGCUUACCAAGGCAACGAUGCAUAGCCGACCUGAGAGGGUGAUCGGCAACACUGGAACUGAGACACGGUCCAGACUCCUACGGGAGGCAGCAGUAGGGAAUCUUCCGCAAUGGGCGAAAGCCUGACGGAGCAACGCCGCGUGAGUGAUGAAGGUCUUCGGAUCGUAAAACUCUGUUAUUAGGGAAGAACAUAUGUGUAAGUAACUGUGCACAUCUUGACGGUACCUAAUCAGAAAGCCACGGCUAACUACGUG
RNAcentral lists this ribosomal RNA (497 nucleotides) under uncultured bacterium. RNAcentral describes it as "partial 16S ribosomal RNA". It matches the Rfam family "Bacterial small subunit ribosomal RNA", at positions 28 to 507 of the family's 1533-position model. The record is from RNAcentral.